RNAcentral lists this ribosomal RNA (466 nucleotides) under uncultured bacterium. RNAcentral describes it as "partial 16S ribosomal RNA". It matches the Rfam family "Bacterial small subunit ribosomal RNA", at positions 29 to 507 of the family's 1533-position model. The record is from RNAcentral.
AUGAACGCUGGCGGCGUGCUUCACCCAUGCAAGUCGAACGGUGAAGCAGAGCUUGCUCUGUGGAUCAGUGGCGAACGGGUGAGUAACACGUGAGCAACCUGCCCCUGACUCUGGGAUAAGCGCUGGAAACGGCGUCUAAUACUGGAUAUGAGCUGCGACCGCAUGGUCAGCAGUUGGAAAGAUUUUUCGGUCUGGGAUGGGCUCACGGCCUAUCAGCUUGUUGGUGAGGUAAUGGCUCACCAAGGCGUCGACGGGUAGCCGGCCUGAGAGGGUGACCGGCCACACUGGGACUGAGACACGGCCCAGACUCCUACGGGAGGCAGCAGUGGGGAAUAUUGCACAAUGGGCGAAAGCCUGAUGCAGCAACGCCGCGUGAGGGAUGACGGCCUUCGGGUUGUAAACCUCUUUUAGCAGGGAAGAAGCGAAAGUGACGGUACCUGCAGAAAAAGCGCCGGCUAACUACGUG